RNAcentral lists this long non-coding RNA (235 nucleotides) under Elaeis guineensis (African oil palm). Its description in RNAcentral is "long non-coding RNA (EGUI_LNC029860)". The record is from RNAcentral. Lineage: Eukaryota; Viridiplantae; Streptophyta; Magnoliopsida; Arecales; Arecaceae.
ACAAACUCUCUAACGACCUCAUUAAUCUCCUCCAGGUAAAUUUUGAUUUUCAGACUCUAGGCUCAUAUUAGAGUGAGACUCUCGGUGGGAACUUGCCAGUUCUCCAACGAGAACUCUAGUUUCCAUCCAGUCCAAACUUUCUAGUUCCUCACUAAUCCUCAUGUUCUCUUUUCUAUUUUUUCCGCAUCCUGUUCUUAAGACUCGAACUGAUUUUAGCAUCGGAGGAUCAAGAAUC